This 483-nucleotide ribosomal RNA is filed under the name uncultured bacterium. Its description in RNAcentral is "partial 16S ribosomal RNA". It matches the Rfam family "Bacterial small subunit ribosomal RNA", at positions 28 to 507 of the family's 1533-position model. The record is from RNAcentral.
GACGAACGCUGGCGGCGUGCUUAACACAUGCAAGUCGAGCGCUGAAGCUCAGCUUUUGUUGGGUGGAUGAGUGGCGAACGGGUGAGUAACACGUGAGUAACCUGCCUCCUUCUUUGGGAUAACGCCCGGAAACGGGUGCUAAUACUGGAUAUUCACUGGUCUUCGCAUGGGGGUUGGUGGAAAGGGUUUUUCUGGUGGGGGAUGGGCUCGCGGCCUAUCAGCUUGUUGGUGGGGUGAUGGCCUACCAAGGCUUUGACGGGUAGCCGGCCUGAGAGGGUGACCGGUCACAUUGGGACUGAGAUACGGCCCAGACUCCUACGGGAGGCAGCAGUGGGGAAUAUUGCACAAUGGGCGCAAGCCUGAUGCGGCGACGCCGCGUGAGGGAUGGAGGCCUUCGGGUUGUGAACCUCUUUCGCUCAUGGUCAAGCCGCAACAAUGGUUGUGGUGAGGGUAGUGGGUAAAGAAGCGCCGGCUAACUACGUG